UCAGUGGUUGAACAUGAAGAAAGCUGGGAGGUGGUAUUUCUUCAACUGCUUUUUUAAUUCUGAUCAUUUUUUUCACUGACCUGGUGAGGUGAGGGGCUGAGCCCUGAGGGACGCUCUCACUUUUGGUGCCCAGCGCCUGGUGCACACCGGGCAUGACCCGCUCUGGGAACAGCGGCAUGUGAGGAGUUUGACUGGGGUGGUACAGGUACAUCUCUCAAUGUGUAACACAGAUGUCCUCAGGAGAGCUCAGGGAGGAUGGAAACCUCCGACAGAGCAGGGGGGCAAAAGCUCGCUUAAUUCUUGAUUUUCAGUACAAAUAGAGGCCAUGAAAGCAGGACCUCGCGAUCGUCCUGGCUUCUGGGGUUUUAAACAAGAGGUGUCAGUAAAGUUCUCACAGGGAUAACUGUCUUGUAGUGGCCAAGCGUUCAUAGUGACAUCGCCGUUUGAUCCUUCGAUGUUGGCUCUUCCUAUCAUUGUGAAGCAGAAUUCAAGCAUUGGAUAGUUCACCCGCUAUUAGGAAACGUGAGCUGGGAUUAGGCCGUUGUGAAACAGGUUAGUUUUAUGCUACUAAUGAUGUGUUGUUGCAAUAGCAAUCCUGCUCAGUACGAGAGGAACUGCAGGUUCAAACCCUUGGUGUGAGGCUACCAUCUGCAGGGCUUAUGACUCAAUGCCUCUCAGUCAGAAUGCCUCCUAGACAUAGCAAUACCUCAGCACUGCUGGUGCCUGGAUGGGCUCACAAUAGCUGGCCACCCACCUCAUGAGGAGCCAGCCUGGUGCGGAGUGCUGCUCAGGACCAGAGGGGUGGGCAGAUACGGCACCACCUCUCCCCCACCACAUAUAAUUGUGGGGUACUUGGCACUAAAUCAUUCAUAAAUGACCUGAUUCUGGGUCAGGGUUUUGUACAUAGCAGAGCAACUCCCUUGCUGAGAGCUAUUGAGAAUUAUCCCUUGACACAAGCUUU
RNAcentral lists this non-coding RNA (961 nucleotides) under Tyto alba (common barn owl). RNAcentral's name for it is "Eukaryotic large subunit ribosomal RNA". It matches the Rfam family "Eukaryotic large subunit ribosomal RNA", at positions 2452 to 3399 of the family's 3401-position model. The record is from Rfam by way of RNAcentral. Lineage: Eukaryota; Metazoa; Chordata; Aves; Strigiformes; Tytonidae.